This 572-nucleotide ribosomal RNA is filed under the name uncultured archaeon. Its description in RNAcentral is "bacterial SSU rRNA". It matches the Rfam family "Archaeal small subunit ribosomal RNA", at positions 331 to 904 of the family's 1478-position model. The record is from RNAcentral.
CGCAGCAGUCGCGAAAACUUCACAAUGGGGGCAACCCCGAUGAGGGAAUUCCUAAUGCUAGCACAUUUGUGUUAGCUUUUCUUUAGCGUAGAUAACUAGAGGAAUAAGGGCUGGGAAAGACGGGUGCCAGCCGCCGCGGUAAUACCUGCAGCCCAAGUGGUGGUCGAGUUUAUUGAGUCUAAAACGUUCGUAGCCGGUUCGGUAAAUCUUUGGGUAAAUCGGGGGGCUUAACCUUCCGACUUCCGAGGAGACUGCCGAACUUGGGACCGGGAGAGGCUAGAGGUACUUCUGGGGUAGGGGUAAAAUCCUGUAAUCCUAGAAGGACCACCGGUGGCGAAGGCGUCUAGCUAGAACGGAUCCGACGGUGAGGGACGAAGCCCUGGGUCGCAAACGGGAUUAGAUACCCCGGUAGUCCAGGGUGUAAACGCUGCAGACUUGGUGUUGGGGGCCCUUUGGGGGCAUUCAGUGCCGGAGAGAAGUUGUUAAGUCUGCUACUUGGGGAGUACGUCCGCAAGGAUGAAACUUAAAGGAAUUGGCGGGGGAGCACCGCAACGGGAGGAGCGUGCGGUUUA